Molecule: ribosomal RNA, 223 nt
Filed under: uncultured Lactobacillus sp.
Lineage: Bacteria; Bacillati; Bacillota; Bacilli; Lactobacillales; Lactobacillaceae
Description: partial 16S ribosomal RNA
Rfam family: Bacterial small subunit ribosomal RNA
Source: RNAcentral
CGGGAUAACACCUGGAAACAGAUGCUAAUACCGGAUAACAACAGAUGAUGCCUAUCAACUGUUUAAAAGAUGGUUCUGCUAUCACUCUUGGAUGGACCUGCGGUGCAUUAGCUAGUUGGUAGGGUAACGGCCUACCAAGGCGAUGAUGCAUAGCCGAGUUGAGAGACUGAUCGGCCACAUUGGGACUGAGACACGGCCCAAACUCCUACGGGAGGCAGCAGAA